Molecule: long non-coding RNA, 170 nt
Organism: Equus quagga
Lineage: Eukaryota; Metazoa; Chordata; Mammalia; Perissodactyla; Equidae
Exons: 3
Source: RefSeq, a predicted model, not a curated record
GUGGAGUUUGUGUUCUACCACAAAGCUGUGGUUGCAGAACCUUGGCUGCAGGAUGAAAGCUAAUGCCUUUGAGGUUUAAGAUUGCUUAGAGGGAAUCCUUCUUGGGCCUUUCAUUCUGGGGCUGGCCCUGUGGCCAGGUGGUGAAGUUCGCGCUCUCCGCUGCAGGCCGC